This 505-nucleotide ribosomal RNA is filed under the name uncultured bacterium. RNAcentral's name for it is "bacterial SSU rRNA". It matches the Rfam family "Bacterial small subunit ribosomal RNA", at positions 15 to 518 of the family's 1533-position model. The record is from RNAcentral.
GAUUAUGGCUCAGGAUGAACGCUGGCGGCGUGCCUAACACAUGCAAGUCGAACGAAGCAUAACUGACGGAGAUUCGUCGAAGCCGGAUAUGACUUAGUGGCGGACGGGUGAGUAAUGUAUGAGCAACCUGCCUUUCAGAGGGGACAACAGUUGGAAACGACCGCUAAUACCGCAUAAUGUAUUUUGGUGGCAUCACCGAGAUACCAAAGGAGCAAUCCGCUGAAAGAUGGGCCCAUAUCUGAUUAGCUAGUUGGCGGGGUAACGGCCCACCAAGGCGACGAUCAGUAGCCGGACUGAGAGGUUGAACGGCCACAUUGGGACUGAGAUACGGCCCAGACUCCUACGGGAGGCAGCAGUGGGGAAUAUUGGGCAAUGGGCGAAAGCCUGACCCAGCAACGCCGCGUGAAGGAAGAAGGUCUUCGGAUUGUAAACUUCUUUUAUGAGGGACGAAGGACGUGACGGUACCUCAUGAAUAAGCCACGGCUAACUACGUGCCAGCCGCCGC